GGAUUUAUGGUUUAGUAUCAGAACUCAUAAUCCAUUGGUCGCAGGUUCAAGUCCUGCUGGGCCCA
This 65-nucleotide transfer RNA is filed under the name Marinobacterium stanieri. It matches the Rfam family "tRNA". From Rfam's summary of the family: Transfer RNA (tRNA) molecules are approximately 80 nucleotides in length. Their secondary structure includes four short double-helical elements and three loops (D, anti-codon, and T loops). The record is from Rfam by way of RNAcentral. Lineage: Bacteria; Pseudomonadati; Pseudomonadota; Gammaproteobacteria; Oceanospirillales; Oceanospirillaceae.